This 253-nucleotide ribosomal RNA is filed under the name uncultured bacterium. RNAcentral's name for it is "partial 16S ribosomal RNA". It matches the Rfam family "Bacterial small subunit ribosomal RNA", at positions 524 to 776 of the family's 1533-position model. The record is from RNAcentral.
UACGUAGGCAGCAAGUGUUGUUCGGAAUUACUGGGCGUAAAGAGUGUGUAGGCGGUGCUCUAAGUCUGUUGUGAAAUCUCCCGGCUUAACUGGGAGGGUGCGGCGGAGACUGGAGUGCUAGAGUGUGGGAGAGGUAAGCGGAAUUCCCAGUGUAGAGGUGAAAUUCGUAGAUAUUGGGAAGAACACCGGUGGCGAAGGCGGCGCUCUGGACCGAGACUGACGCUGAGGCGCGAAAGCGUGGGGAGCAAACAGG